GGGGGUGUUCAAAAGUAAGGAGAGAGAAUCAAAGCCUCAAGCGUCACGUCUAGGAAUAGCCUCGGAGCCGGGCCAAGUCAUUAUCGACGAUGAGUAAUCGGUUAAGUCAUUUCUCUAAACACCAUUCCUUCAGCGACUAAGUUAUGAAAUCGGGUUCCUAUCACUCCAGGAUUCUGAAGGUCUGGGCUUGAGGGCCAGCACCUGGGACCCCAUCCCCGAUCAUGACAACCCUCUCUAACCCUGAUCACCCCCCAGAGUGUCCUGUCCCUGCAAGCAUCAUCAUUUUCAUACCCUGAUACCUGACAGUGUCAUUAAAUAUCAG
This is a long non-coding RNA of Meriones unguiculatus (Mongolian gerbil), 322 nucleotides long. RefSeq lists it as uncharacterized. The transcript has 3 exons. The record is from RefSeq and is a predicted model, not a curated record. Lineage: Eukaryota; Metazoa; Chordata; Mammalia; Rodentia; Muridae.